CCUACGGGAGGCAGCAGUGAGGAAUAUUGGUCAAUGGACGAGAGUCUGAAGCAGCGAAGUAGCGUGAGGGAUGAAUGCCCUAUGGGUGUUAAGCUUCUUUUGUAAAGGAGUAAAACGCGGCACGUGUGCCUUUUUGCAUGUACUUUAUGAAUAAGGAUCGGCUAACUCCGUGCCAGCAGCCGCGGUAAUACGGAGGAUCCGAGCGUUAUCCGGAUUUAUUGGGUUUAAGGGGAGCGUAGAUGGGUUGUUAAGUCAGUUGUGAAAGUUUGCGGCUCAACCGUAAAAUUGCAAUUGAUACUGGUAGGCUGGAGUACAGUUGAGGUAGGCGGAAUUCGUGGUGUAGCGGUGAAAUGCUUAGAUAUCACGAAGAACCCCGAUUGCGAAGGCAGCUUACUAAACUGUGACUGACAUUGAGGCUCGAAAGCGUGGGUAUCAAACAGGAUUAGAUACCCCAGUAGUC
Molecule: ribosomal RNA, 460 nt
Filed under: uncultured bacterium
Lineage: Bacteria
Description: partial 16S ribosomal RNA
Rfam family: Bacterial small subunit ribosomal RNA
Source: RNAcentral